UUUCUGAUCAAUUUCCUCCUAAUGAACAUUAUUUUGGUCUAGUUAAUUUUGGAAAUACCUGUUAUAGUAAUUCUGUACUACAAGCUUUAUAUUUUUGUCGACCAUUUAGAGAAAAAGUUCUAGAAUACAAAGCUAGAAAUAAGAGAACCAAGGAAACAUUAUUAACAUGUUUAGCAGAUUUGUUCUACAGUAUUGCAACUCAAAAAAAGAAAGUUGGAUCUA
Bombus impatiens (common eastern bumble bee) is the source of this 222-nucleotide long non-coding RNA. RefSeq lists it as uncharacterized. The transcript has 2 exons. NCBI's taxonomy places the organism in Eukaryota, Metazoa, Arthropoda, Insecta, Hymenoptera, Apidae. The record is from RefSeq and is a predicted model, not a curated record.